This 434-nucleotide ribosomal RNA is filed under the name uncultured bacterium. RNAcentral describes it as "bacterial SSU rRNA". It matches the Rfam family "Bacterial small subunit ribosomal RNA", at positions 963 to 1393 of the family's 1533-position model. The record is from RNAcentral.
GAAGAACCUUACCUGGCCUUGACAUGGUAGGAACCCUUAAGAGAUUAGGGGGUGCUAGCUUGCUAGAACCUACACACAGGUGCUGCACGGCUGUCGUCAGCUCGUGUCGUGAGAUGUUGGGUUAAGUCCCGCAACGAGCGCAACCCUCGUCUUUAGUUGCUAACAGUUAGGCUGAGCACUCUAAAGAGACUGCCUCUGUAAGGAGGAGGAAGGUGAGGACGACGUCAAGUCAUCAUGGCCCUUACGGCCAGGGCUACACACGUGCUACAAUGGGGCGUACAGAGAGCUGCAAUACCGCGAGGUGGAGCCAAUCUCUUAAAGCGUCUCUCAGUUCGGAUUGUUCUCUGCAACUCGAGAACAUGAAGCUGGAAUCACUAGUAAUCGUAGAUCAGCUAUGCUACGGUGAAUACGUUCCCGGGUCUUGUACACACCGA